UACGUAGGGGGCGAGCGUUGUUCGGAAUUACUGGGCGUAAAGGGCGUGUAGGCGGUGCGGUAAGUCGAGUGUGAAAUCCCCAGGCUCAACCUGGGGCGGUCGCUCGAGACUGCCGUGCUCGAGUGUGGGAGAGGGAAGUGGAAUUCCCGGUGUAGCGGUGAAAUGCGUAGAUAUAGGAAGGAACACCAGUGGCGAAGGCGACCACCUGGGCUCAUACUGACACUGAGGUGCGAAAGCGUGGGGAGCAAACAGG
Molecule: ribosomal RNA, 253 nt
Filed under: uncultured prokaryote
Description: partial 16S ribosomal RNA
Rfam family: Bacterial small subunit ribosomal RNA
Source: RNAcentral